RNAcentral lists this ribosomal RNA (421 nucleotides) under uncultured bacterium. RNAcentral's name for it is "partial 16S ribosomal RNA". It matches the Rfam family "Bacterial small subunit ribosomal RNA", at positions 360 to 773 of the family's 1533-position model. The record is from RNAcentral.
AUUAUUCGACAAUGGGCGAAAGCCUGAUCCAGCCAUCCCGCGUGUGUGAAGAAGGUCUGCGGAUUGUAUUGCACUUUAAGUUGGGAGGAAGGGCAGUUAGUGAAUACAUUGCUGUUUUGACGCUAUCGACCGAAUAAGCACAGUUUAACUUCGUACAAGCAUCCGCGGUAAUACGAAGGGUGCAAGCGUUAAUCGGAAUUACUGGGCGUAAAGCGCGCGUAGGUGGUUUGUUAAGUUGGAAGUGAAAGCCCCGGGCUCAACCUGGGAACUGCUUUCAAAACUGGCAAGCUAGAGUAUGGCAGAGGGUAGUGGAAUUUCCUGUGUAGCGGUGAAAUGCGUAGAUAUAGGAAGGAACACCAGUGGCGAAGGCGACUACCUGGACUGAUACUGACACUGAGGUGCGAAAGCGUGGGGAGCAAAC